Molecule: long non-coding RNA, 4287 nt
Filed under: Capsicum annuum
Lineage: Eukaryota; Viridiplantae; Streptophyta; Magnoliopsida; Solanales; Solanaceae
Description: long non-coding RNA (CANN_LNC009114)
Source: RNAcentral
GUGAACAAAGAGGACAAGAUCGGAAUCAAGGUACUGAGGGAUGAAGAGACUAUUAGGUUCCAUGGAGAUGAAACCAAUAUGCAUUGGACUAUGAAGAUAUGAACCCCAACGAUAGCCACCCUUCACCAUUCUCAUCGACCCAGCGUCAGUUUUCACAACAUUAUGUAAGUGACGCAACAAGAACCAUUUUUCUCCUUGUGUUCUUUGCUCAUUUUCUUCCUCUUCAUAGGCACCAACAUAGGCCACUAGUGUAGUGAAAAGUACCAGCACUAGAAGCAACAGUGUCCUAACCUUUUCCAUCUCAACUUGUAAUAAAGAAGAAUGUCUUCGAAGUUUUCUUUAAUCAGUUUGGUACAUUGGAGAGUGAAGGGUCUGUAGUUGUUUAUAUAGAGGGAAUGAUGAGAUUUUAAGGGGAGUUGUCGUAAACCAUGCAAUUUUUCUAGGCUUUUCUUGUAUACAAAUCAUUUGGUGAACUUAUGCCAAAUCUGAUGACCACUUCAAAGGGCUACUCUACCGCACUAAAAGAAUGUAUUUAACUUUUAACAUGUACUAUAUACUAAUUUUUACACUUGUAUUAAGGUUACCAAUCAGCUUUAGUAUAAACAAUUCAUAACAAAACUAUAAUACAAUUUUCGCAGGAUACAUAGAUAGAUAUUGUAAUUUGGACACGAAUGGAAAUUGAACACCCAAAUUUCCAAAUGACCAUAUAGACACGUCAUCCUUACUAUAUCUUGUAGACACUUGAUGUGACAAAAUAUUUGUCUUUCAAAUAAAUUAGAGCGCGUGAAGUCUUAUUUUUACUCAUAUUUUUCAUUUUUAUCUAGGAAAACCCUUGAAAAUCAGUCUCUCCUCCGGCGAUGGGAAUAAAUGGUCACUCCGGCUUGAACUCUUCUCCCCUAUCAAAUUCCAAAUCCAAAAUCAAUAUUUCAUACAUGAUAGUUGAUUUCAAAAAGCUAAAUUUGUGCAAGACUAGAAUUACAAUAGAAAAUGUUAAAUUACAUCUUAUCUUUUAAAAUUAUUUUGUCACGUCGAGUGCAACUCACACAAUAGAUCUUGGGGACGAGUGUCUUUACCAGGCUAACUUACUCACGCAAUAGAUCUUGGGGACGAGUGCAUUUACCAGGCUAACUUAAAUCAAGAUAAGGUAUCUAAACGGUCAUAAUGAAAGCGUCAGUGGUGGCCAAAUGUAAAUGUAUAUAUAUGUAUUAUACCCCGUACAUUUUUUUACAGUAUCAAGUAAUCCCAUCAUUUUUUUUAAUUGCUCUCCUUAUUUUUUAUAAGUCAAUUUGACUAAGUUUCAAAGCUAAAUUGACUUAGACUUAUUUAAUUUAUUUUUUAAAAAUUAUAAUUUGAUAUUUAAAAACUACAUGAAAAGUACUAUAAAUUGCAAUUUUUCUUUUUUAAUUUGAUUAAAAAUAUAUUUUAAAAAAUUGUUCAAAAUUUGAAUUCUUAGAUUCUAAAAAAGAAAAGGGAGCAAUUAAAAAGGAAUAGAGAGAAUAUUUAAUAACCAAUGGAUGUAAUUGUCUUUAAGUAUGGAUUGAUCACAAUAAAAAAUAACAUAAACAAUUUCUUCUAAACUGAUUAAAAAAACAAUUUACACUGUUAGCAAAUUUGAAUAAUAUCAAUGACAACUGGCGUAAAAUAAUUGUUAAGAAUUCACAUCAGAAAAGAGAUGGACAGUUGAUAUCCUUAUACGAACUUGGACAUCGGACAAUCCUCACCCUAGCUAGUUUAGACGCAAAAUUCAUUUCCUUACAAUAACCAGUUAGAAUAUUUAAGAACCCUUUGUUAUUACUAUUAGUUUUGUAUUUGCUCUUAUAGAAAACAAAAAACUCCUCUCUCUAAACUUAGCCAGGACUAAGUUGACUAGCACCUUGGUUUUUGGGUCAAAAUUCUGGUCAUUUCCAUUCAACUUGACUUAUUAGUCAAAGCUAACUGAUAUUUUGUUUUGUUUGUGGCCAAGAGAAGGAAUCACUAGAACAUAUGUUCUUUUGUUGUCCUAAGUCUAGAAAUCUUGAAAACGAGUCCUGUAAUUUUGCCUGAGUCAAUGAUUGUUCAGCUUAUUUGUAUACAUAAUGUGGUUUAUUUGGAAAGCUAGAAAUCACUGGGUGAUGAUAGGAGGGAUGCUUCUUUUACCGUGUCAAGGGCAUUAUUUUAUAUUAAUGAUUAUGGUGAGCUUGUAAAUGUUAAUAUUGUCAUAAAUAAACAACAUAUAUAGACUACCAACAUUUCAGUUUUUCAUACUAAUUGUAAAAGUUCGAACCAUGAAAAGAAUCACUUCAAUAAACCAAUCCGUCUUAUUCACAACUAAAGGGUAAAGUGUCUUGUGUCCAACAAGAACACCGAGGAAACAAAAUCAGAUCGCAUCAAAGUGAAAACAGAAAAGAUCCAGAAAAAAAAUAGUUGCAAAACUGGCAUUGAGCUCUCAUGCCAUAACUCAACUAGACCAACGACGUACAAGAAUUCCCACUAAACUAAUAAAAAUCCGUACAUUGCCUCGUCGUCAGGAGAAUCUGAUGAUGAUGGCAAGAUGACUUGUUCACGUUGAGCAUUAACAAUCCUCUUAAGCCUUUUCUCACCAAUUCCGAAUGCAGCUGCAAAUUCUGGCCCUCUCAAACUCUGCAUCAAUGAGUUCCUACCCACCAAGAACUGAGGAUGGUUCCUCCUUGCUGAUGUUGUGAAGCCGAAGAACUCAAAUGGGCCAUUCGUUGAAGCAAUAUGGCAGAAUGGGUAGUACCUUGGCACCCAAAAGACGUCCCCUUGUCGUACUCUUGCAUUCAUGGCUAAAGUCCCAUUCGGAUACACAAUUUGAACUCUGCCAGUCCCUUUCAACACUACUCCGUACUCUAUUGCUCUUGGAUUUACAUGAGGUGCCAUCAUGGAUCCCUACAUUUUCAAGUAAAAAUAGAUAAAACAUGUAAGCAAGAAAAGAAAAGAAAAGUUGUUAUAUAUAUACGGACCAGGUUAAGUGUGAUUUGCUUUCACAUGAAGAUAUUUGAGUCAAUACAUGCAAAUGAUCAUUACCGGAGAUAGAUUGACAAGGUAAACGCCAUUGCCAGAUUGUUGUAGAGGAGAAUAAUCAGACUCAUCCACACUCUUGGUCCAUCCAUAGUCAUUCUUGAAAUUGGGCUUCCUGUUGUACAGAUUGUACGCUGAUGGAGCUUUGUGAUUCCCUCUCUUGACAACAUCUUUUCUUUUUAAUAAAGCACACAAAAAUUUCCUCAAUGACCAUGUUGAUUCCUCCUCUUUUGGUCUAACUUCUUUCUCCAAAUUCACAAUCCUCUUCAAGUGCGCUAGUUUCUGAUGGGAUUCUUGGGCUACGAAUUUGGUCCAAACGUCUGUGUGAUGAGAACCAGAUAAAUGCACGAUUGGUCCGGAAGAUUGCCUGGUCAAGAACCUCCUUAAUUCUGCUGUCGAGACCUGGAGUUUUACAUAAUUUUGAUUCAAUUUGUUGUCCUGCUGAUAAAUGUAGUAAGGAAAAUUAAAUUCCCUUGAAUACUCACAUUAAGAGCUGUUGAUAAUGUGUUAUGAUCGAAUCCAGCAAGAACGGAUGCUGGAUGAAUUCCACCACCAAUGAAGAAAGACUGAAAAAUAGUUACCCGAAGUUACUACGAAGCUUUGGGAAGAAAUAGGACGAUAAACCAAAGACAAGAAAUAGUAGAUCAAAUGAUAAAUUUUUGAGAAUUUGACCAAGGCUACCUGGAAAGCAUGCCAUCCCAUGGAUUCUGAGUUAAUAUCAAUGCUGCAAAUAAUGCGAAGUCUCUCGUUUUCAGCUCUAUUCUCCAAAUAGAAAGCUGAUCCAGCAGCUAUUGUGUACACAUCUCCAUGCUUCAAAUGCCUUUCUACUAAUUCAUUCCUAUAGAUGUUUCCAACUCUUGCUUCCCCUGUAUUCAAUUCAUAACAAAUGGACAUCAGGCUUAUAAUUUAAUUUCUAUACUACACGUGUAUUUUAACCUGUUAGUGUUUUUCCAGGCUAUUAGUCCCGCUUCUUAUGAAAGACUAUGUAGUUAUCGUUUAGGCAACUUGAUGAAUUCUUUUUAUACAAUGUCAAUGUAUAAGAAGUUAAACUCUUAAUUACCGUGAUGAACAAAGAGGACAAGAUCGGAAUCAAGGUAUUGAGGGAUGAAGAGACUAUUAGGUUCCAUGGAGAUGAAACCAACAUGCAUUGGACUAUGUAGAAAUGAACCCCUUCGGUAGCCACCCUUCACCAUUCUCAUCGACCCAGCAUCAGUUUUCACAACAUCAUGUAACUGACGCAGCAAGAACCAAUUUUCUCCUUGUGUUCUU